CCUACGGGAGGCAGCAGUGGGGGAUAUUGCACAAUGGGGGGAACCCUGAUGCAGCGACGCCGCGUGGGUGAAGAAGCGCCUCGGCGCGUAAAGCCCUGUCAGCAGGGAAGAAAAUGACGGUACCUGAAGAAGACGCCCCGGGUAACUACGUGCCAGCAGCCGCGGUACUACGUAGGGGGCAAGCGUUAUCCGGAUUUACUGGGGGUAAAGGGGGCGCAGACGGCGAUGAAAGCCAGGAGGGAAAGCCCGGGGGCCAACCCCGGGACUGCUCUUGGAACUGCGUGGCUGGAGUGCAGGAGGGGCGGGCGGAAUUCCAGGUGUAGCGGUGAAAUGCGUAGAUAUCAGGAGGAACACCGGUGGCGAAGGCGGCCUGCUGGACUGCAACUGACGUUGAGGCCCGAAAGCGUGGGGAGCAAACAGGAUUAGAUACCCGGGUAGUC
RNAcentral lists this ribosomal RNA (440 nucleotides) under uncultured bacterium. RNAcentral describes it as "partial 16S ribosomal RNA". It matches the Rfam family "Bacterial small subunit ribosomal RNA", at positions 338 to 795 of the family's 1533-position model. The record is from RNAcentral.